AUUCGAAUAGCUUAUAUUUAGAGUAUAGCACUGAAGAUGCUGUGGAGAUUAUCACAAUCUUUGGAUA
This 67-nucleotide transfer RNA is filed under the name Pseudodiamesa sp. 1XL. Its description in RNAcentral is "tRNA-Phe". The record is from RNAcentral. Lineage: Eukaryota; Metazoa; Arthropoda; Insecta; Diptera; Chironomidae.